Small nucleolar RNA from Cariama cristata (Red-legged seriema), 133 nucleotides. It matches the Rfam family "Small nucleolar RNA SNORA55". From Rfam's summary of the family: ACA55 is a member of the H/ACA class of snoRNA that guide the sites of modification of uridines to pseudouridines. The record is from Rfam. NCBI's taxonomy places the organism in Eukaryota, Metazoa, Chordata, Aves, Cariamiformes, Cariamidae.
GCAUCUGAAUCUUUCCCACUGCUUGCAAUAUAGUGCUUGACUGGGGACCCAUGAUGCAAAAGGAAGGCAGAGGAAAUCCAGACAAGCUCCCUUUCACCACAGUGGGACUUGUCUCUACGCCUUUGCAACAUUU